GUCGAGCGGUAGCACAGAGAGCUUGCUCUCGGGUGACGAGCGGCGGACGGGUGAGUAAUGUCUGGGAAACUGCCUGAUGGAGGGGGAUAACUACUGGAAACGGUAGCUAAUACCGCAUAACGUCGCAAGACCAAAGUGGGGGACCUUCGGGCCUCAUGCCAUCAGAUGUGCCCAGAUGGGAUUAGCUAGUAGGUGGGGUAAUGGCUCACCUAGGCGACGAUCCCUAGCUGGUCUGAGAGGAUGACCAGCCACACUGGAACUGAGACACGGUCCAGACUCCUACGGGAGGCAGCAGUGGGGAAUAUUGCACAAUGGGCGCAAGCCUGAUGCAGCCAUGCCGCGUGUAUGAAGAAGGCCUUCGGGUUGUAAAGUACUUUCAGCGAGGAGGAAGGCAUUAAGGUUAAUAACCUUGGUGAUUGACGUUACUCGCAGAAGAAGCACCGGCUAACUCCGUGCCAGCAGCCGCGGUAAUACGGAGGGUGCAAGCGUUAAUCGGAAUUACUGGGCGUAAAGCGCACGCAGGCGGUCUGUCAAGUCGGAUGUGAAAUCCCCGGGCUCAACCUGGGAACUGCAUUCGAAACUGGCAGGCUAGAGUCUUGUAGAGGGGGGUAGAAUUCCAGGUGUAGCGGUGAAAUGCGUAGAGAUCUGGAGGAAUACCGGUGGCGAAGGCGGCCCCCUGGACAAAGACUGACGCUCAGGUGCGAAAGCGUGGGGAGCAAACAGGAUUAGAUACCCUGGUAGUCCACGCCGUAAACGAUGUCGACUUGGAGGUUGUGCCCUUGAGGCGUGGCUUCCGGAGCUAACGCGUUAAGUCGACCGCCUGGGGAGUACGGCCGCAAGGUUAAAACUCAAAUGAAUUGACGGGGGCCCGCACAAGCGGUGGAGCAUGUGGUUUAAUUCGAUGCAACGCGAAGAACCUUACCUACUCUUGACAUCCAGAGAACUUAGCAGAGAUGCUUUGGUGCCUUCGGGAACUCUGAGACAGGUGCUGCAUGGCUGUCGUCAGCUCGUGUUGUGAAAUGUUGGGUUAAGUCCCGCAACGAGCGCAACCCUUAUCCUUUGUUGCCAGCGGUUCGGCCGGGAACUCAAAGGAGACUGCCAGUGAUAAACUGGAGGAAGGUGGGGAUGACGUCAAGUCAUCAUGGCCCUUACGAGUAGGGCUACACACGUGCUACAAUGGCAUAUACAAAGAGAAGCGACCUCGCGAGAGCAAGCGGACCUCAUAAAGUAUGUCGUAGUCCGGAUUGGAGUCUGCAACUCGACUCCAUGAAGUCGGAAUCGCUAGUAAUCGUAGAUCAGAAUGCUACGGUGAAUACGUUCCCGGGCCUUGUACACACCGCCCGUCACACCAUGGGAGUGGGUUGCAAAAGAAGUAGGUAGCUUA
This 1384-nucleotide ribosomal RNA is filed under the name Klebsiella sp. RNAcentral describes it as "bacterial SSU rRNA". It matches the Rfam family "Bacterial small subunit ribosomal RNA", at positions 61 to 1437 of the family's 1533-position model. The record is from RNAcentral. Lineage: Bacteria; Pseudomonadati; Pseudomonadota; Gammaproteobacteria; Enterobacterales; Enterobacteriaceae.